AGUGAACGCUGGCGGUGGGCCUAACACAUGCAAGUCGAACGGCAGCACAGGAGAGCUUGCUCUCUGGGUGGCGAGUGGCGGACGGGUGAGGAAUACAUCGGAAUCUACCUUUUCGUGGGGGAUAACGUAGGGAAACUUACGCUAAUACCGCAUGCGACCUACGGGUGAAAGUGGGGGACCGCAAGGCCUCACGCGAUUAG
This 200-nucleotide ribosomal RNA is filed under the name uncultured bacterium. RNAcentral's name for it is "partial 16S ribosomal RNA". It matches the Rfam family "Bacterial small subunit ribosomal RNA", at positions 29 to 224 of the family's 1533-position model. The record is from RNAcentral.